RNAcentral lists this long non-coding RNA (12679 nucleotides) under Gallus gallus (chicken). Its description in RNAcentral is "lncRNA (ENSGALG00010006646.1)". The record is from RNAcentral. Lineage: Eukaryota; Metazoa; Chordata; Aves; Galliformes; Phasianidae.
CCAAAAUCACAAGCGAGUCUGGCUGUUAGGUGUCAAGUUCAACUCUCACAGAUUGCCCAGCGUGGUCUGAGCCAACUUUUCAGAUGUUCGUCCAUGCACAAAAUGAUGCAUGUGUCACUCAGGGUCUGUGCUUGCUCAGACAACACCUCCAUUAAGGCUUCAGAAGAGAGAUUUUCCUGCCUAGAGGUCAUGUGGAGUCUGCAGUGAGACUGGUGUGUAGUGUGGGGCAUGGCUAAGCUCAGGACCAUUCACAAAAGGCACUGUGUUAAGAAGGAAAGAAUUAUGCUUUGCUGCUCAGGAGCUCCCCUCGGAGGAAUGUGCUAUUUCAUUGCUCCAUUAUGUUGGACAUCCAUCUGUAUGGACAAGUCAGAUCAGUGUUUGAUUAUUCUCAUUACUUCUGGUAAGCAGAUAUCCUCUCCCUUCCCAGCUUUUUUGUUAUUCUCACUACUCAGCUCACAGAGAAGAGUCUUUUUGGUUUUCUUCUUAGUUACUGUUAGUCUUCCUCAAAAAAAAAACAAAACAAACCAACCAACCAAACAACAACAACAACAAAAAACACCCCACAGACCAAAGCGAAACAAAAAGCUGUGAUCCACACAACUAAAACCAUUUAAACAAUCAUCCUCAGUCUUACCUGGUGAGAGAGAUUUGCACUUCCUUUUUCUAGGGGAUAGUCCUUUCUGUGGCCUGAGCAGACCCGAUCAUUCCAGUUUGUGUCACAGCUGAGCCAUCUCUGAGCAUCAGGGUGCAACCAGAGCCCUCCUGAGGUUCCUUCCUUCCAGAGUGGUCCUAUGGUUUCCCCAUAGGCUGGUAGAGCUGAGGGACUGACUGAGAGGUCUCUUUUGGGCAUCAUGAUCUGUGGAUCCUGAAGUCAUCUUCCCCAGCAGACUGAUUGGCAAUACCCUGAGCAGACACAGGUUGCUUCACUGUUCUCUCUGUUGGGAUGUUCCCCUCCUCAGUUUCAGUCAUUUGUCUCACAUAGGCUUCAGUACUCACCACUGUCUUAACUACUGACAGAGGCUGGAAACAUAUUGUUCAGCUUUGUCUCACUAGGGUCAAGAUCAGUAAAUGUGGUACCCAGACUAAUUCAGAUCAUAGUUUUCUCAUGUUGAAUUGUUUCCUUGUCCAGCCACCAGGCAGCAAGAUUAAAUAACUUGUUGUCAUUUUGAUGUCUAUCAACUACCAGUUGACAGACAUUUUUAUUUCUGCGGAUCGGUGCUGAUGUUUGUGUGACACUGGAUCUGUUCAAAGUUUGAGGAGUGGGUCCUUGCCUUGACAUCUUGCUUCCUGGUUGGAACAGCAUAACUUGGGCAUAAUCAGUCCCAUUCUAGUCAAGUCCCCUCUGUGCCAGUUUUCACAGUAAAGAAACAAGCCAGAUGGGCACCAAAACUAACUCCCAAGAAGAGGAGCUGAAGCCACAAUUCCUGGUCUUCAGUGGCACAUCCCAACAUAUAGGUUCUGUCAAAGUUGAAAGUUAUAGGUGAAGUAUCUAGGAUUCCUCUUCUUGCCCUCAUAGAGUAAGUGGGUGUUGCUGCUGAGCUUCUCACUUAUUCAGUUUUGCCUUCUCAUCAUGAUAGGUUCUUGCGUGUUCCCAGCCAGACUCAAUCAAUCCCAUUUUUUUUCCACAGGAUGUUAGAAAUAUUCAUAUACACAGUAGAGCAUCAGAUCCCCUCUCAGCCAGAAUUAAACAACGUGACAACUUUUCUCAGUAACUUUUACUAAAGUAGCAGAGAUUUAAACUCACUUUUUUUUUUUCCUACUCUAGACGAACAUUCCACCCAAACUUCCCAGGUUCUUACAUAUACUCCUCUUUUCAUACUGAAGGAUAGCAGGCAUUUGCCAGCUGAGCUGUCUGCCAUCUUUCCCCAGCCAUCUUUUAUCAGAUUACAGCAGUUUUCUGAACCUGGUUUGUGCAUUGCUGGCCCAUGAAAGUUAGACAUCCUAGCUCCAGUAUCCUGAGAACGUAACUUGUCAAUAUAGCAUGUGAUUCAUGCAAUUCAUGUAAUCCAUAGAACAAAUGCCAGCUUUGAUUUGUAAUUGCUUUAAAACACUCAUUUAUAAAUGUUAAUUUGAUCCUCCUGGCAAUUGUUUUUCCGAUUGCUUUAGAUAAAAAAUGGUCUUUCUUGUAGAUUUUAGAAAAAUCCAAGAUGCAGGCUCUUCUGAAGUUUACUAAUGAAUUUAAAGAUUAACCUGCCAAUUUUAAAGGAAUUAUAUUUCUGUCUCAAACUACAUUUCUCCAUGUAGCAAGGGUCACUUACAAAUGUUUUUGUUGAAAAGCACUAUCUUUGUUAGCUCUAUUUAUCUUCAAAAGGCAGCUCCAGGAUAGGAGAUUUCAUUUAAAAAUAAAUAAAAAAUCAUCAUUUAUGGCACUUAAAAUUAUUUUGAGAACCUGAAUCAAAGUAUGAUGGCUUGCCUUUCGUAGCCUUGAGACAGUGUAAAACUAUAGCCAUGCUGUGUUAAACACUUCAUACAGCUUGGGCUUUGCUUUGAUUUGAUUUGCUUGUUAUUUAUUUACACGCUAUAGGCCAGACUCUCUCCUGUGCCAGAGCUCCACUCUGUUUGGGGAUGGGUCAUAAGGAAGUAAUUACCACUCCCUGUCCUCCACAUGAUUUCUCCUGGUUGCCAGGCAGCUCUGUGUUAGACCUCUUGUGCAAGGUUCUUAAGAGUGCAUUAAAUUCAACGUGACUUCAGGAUACGCCUAGACUUUGGCACAUUCUUCUCUUCCAGGCAUUUACAAUCCUUAAGGGUAGUCUGAUUUUGGAAAGAUAGGAUAUUUAACUUUCUUGAGUCUGCAUUAGUGCAUGCAAUAGUAGAACUUCAUUUAUGAUGAAGAUACCUAUCCAAAUACAGCUUCAGAAUUAUAUGAAUCUCUGUUCAAUGCCUGGCGUAGUAGAAUAGAGGCUUUCAGGAACUUCUGGAAUAUAAAUACCACUUGUAAAGAGAUGGAACUGGAAGGUCCUUUCCAAGACAGAAGGUUAAGUGGCAGCAUGGAGACCAUGGCUGGAAAACCUUCUGUCCUCCCUUUAUGCUCAGUAGCCUUGAGGGCAACAUUGCCCAGGCUUUUCCCCCUAACACAGCUGCAGUGUGUUUGAAAAUCCUGGAGAUUGGCCACUCCAUCUGGACUCAUCCCACACACUUCAGUGAGGUGCUUGGUGAGGCUGGUCAGCAUGGACCCCCUACUGCAGCCAGGGAAGGAACAUAUCUCCCGCUGGUGAUUCUGACCAUUUAAGUUUGUCAUUUGAAUAUAAGGAGGCUGUGAACAUCUUGGAUCCUAACACAUGGGCUGCUGUGAAGUGUCUGUUGUUAAGUGAGUGGGAUUUUUAAAAAUUUAUAUCCAAAUCUGAAUAAAGUGAAGACUGUUAAGGAAAGAUAAGGUUGUAUUUCCACUCAGGAUUCAUUUGCAAAUUGUCUAACUGAGAUGUUUUUGUUUUGAUUGCUUGUUAUUCCAAAAAUACUGAGUUCUUUUUGCCACUUUUUGUCCUAUUUAGCGAUAGAACCUAACGGAGAUUUAGGCCCGGAGAUGAAAAUUGGGAGUUCCUAGUCAUCACUCAUCUUCAUGGCACAAUGUGAAAUGUCUGAGUCCUAAUUUUUUCCAUUCUUUUUUUCUUCCUGUCACAUCACAGUUCCUUUAACUGGAAUUGCUCAACCCAAAUGUAAACUGUAGGUAAACCUGUUGGUAUCACCUUAAAGACUCAGCCAGAUGCUAUACCUAGAGCCUAGCUUUCAGCUGUCUGAACCAAAAUUCAUCUUUUCUGUUCAUGUAAACCCAGUAGAUUUUCAAUAACCAUGGGUCAGCUGGUCUGUGUGGGACCAUUUUGGUGCAUUCAUGGGUUGUGAGGAUGUUGAGAAUACCUAGUAAGAAUAGGUUUCUUUCAAAAAUUUAGCUAAAAAUUAAAGUUUAAUUUUAAAAUAUUUAACUCAAUACCUCAAUUUAUCACACUUCAUCUAAUUUUUCAAAACAAUAGAUUUUGGUUAGAUUUGAAUCAAAACAGAAAAUAGUAGACACUUGAUUAGCAGAAAGUACCUUGUCCUUGCCAAGUCUGAAGUGCCCUCUGCAAAGCAUGGGCGUAUUUGGAGAAGAAGCUGCUAACAUUAAUAUAUAUAUAUAUAUAUAUCAUAUAUAUAUAUAUAUAUAUAUAUAUCAGUGAAACAAUAUAUUUCCCCCACACAGCCUGGCUCAGAAAUGGCUGAAAUAUUUUGCUCUAUUAAACAAAUAAUAAUCAGCUUGAUGCAUGGAAUAUAACAGUACAUCCAGUUGAAGUCUAACAAAGCUAUGAGGAGCCAGAGCCAGAGAUCUAAUGAACUUUUAGGAGAGGUUUCAUGUCUAAUAACAGUAAUGUUGCCCUUUGGCCCAGCAAGCAGAGCAUCACAGGAUCAGUGUGUGCCAGCUGACAGCCAUGGAGGGAUUGAUCCAGGCACUCUGCAGAGUGGAGCGCUGGUUGCUUUUCCCCUUCCUCGGGCUUCUUCCUUUGGACUUUAGGAGAUGCUAUUAAUGGCAGAAAUUCAGAGAGAGGGAACUACAUGCUCCUGGUCUCACUGGGAAGGACACUGGGGUACAUGACGAUCUGAGUAUCCUUACUGCUUUAGGAAAGAAGCCCAAAGGUUCCUGAACAACAGGUUUAGUAGGAAAGUGUAUUUUAUCCUGUGAUGUAACUGAGUGUCAAGUCAGAGGCAGUGUCCCUGAGCUGUCUCACAUCUUUGCACUGCAUCUGUAAUGCAGAACUUGGGUUCAGGUUUUUCCACCUUAUUGUCACCACCUCUUAUGGAUGCCUAUUUCUACAGACAAUGGAGAGAAGUGGGAAUCUCCAGCAGGUGAUUCAGCCCAACUCAGACAAGCAAACAAGCCAAUUCAUAAGCUCAGCACAGGCAGUCUUCCCACGGAUACCUGAGACAGCUACAUUUUUUUUAUUAUUUAUUUUUUAUUUUUAUUUUUUGUGGUAACACUUGUUUUACAAAGUUCAGUGAAGAAAACCAAAUGCAAAAGUGAUUCUCAGGUGUAAUGUCCCUGAAGGAGGAAGGAGCUCUGCUAUAAAAGGUGUGCCAGUCCCCGCCAGCACUACACCACUGAUGGUACCAGUCCUGUCUGGCUGAGAGGUGCUGCAGGAAUAAUUAAUAUUUCUGAAGAAUGGUUCCAAAGGUGGGGGAGAAACACAUUUGUUGCCUGGGGUGGCUCUUAGAUUGUAAAUCAUAUGGCAGUCCCACAUAAAUACCUUUGAGAGCUUUUAAUGAACCGUGUCCCAUAGGUGAAAGCCAACAGCAAUAUUAGAAAUGGUGUUUGUUUUAUGGCCUAGAAACUGCAUUUUAAAUGCUAGUAUAGCUUUAUAUGACAGUUGUAUUAAAUAUAAAAUAGACCCAUUACAAAGAAAGCCCUUUACAUCUGCUUUUAUCUGUGUCUAAAUGGCAUGCCCAGCUCUGCAAUUUCUCAAAUGAGACAUUUUUAGAACUUUAUUUAUGUUACAGCCAUAACAAACUAGCAACUAGAAAACUAUAAUGGGCACAAACGGCUAAUAAAAAUGAGAUUGUUGAAAAAUACUUCUUAAUAGCAAUUUACAAAGGAUCCUGAUAAAACAGAACUGAGGCUCUGUUUCCCUGGACGUUUGCCACUACUGUAAUCACAGUCAUUUGGCAACAGGUACUCCCCCUCUUCCAUCUUCUCUGACCAUUUCCCUCUGAAUAUGCUGAAAGCCAAGUACCCUGAGGUUACUCCCUGCCCUGCCAUUAGUCACUUGGUACCUACUGAUGCAUAGACACAGAGGAGCAAUUCCCCUUUUCUCUCCUCUUACCAUGCCUGGGAUGACCUGACAGAGGAAGCAUCCUGAAGUCACAAGCUCAGAGGAGAAUAGGGCAGCAAGGCAGUAUCUGUCCCACACAUGCAGAGGGUGCCCUUUUUGCUUCUGAAACCUGCAUCACCUCUCUGAUGAACUGAUCUGUUUACACAGACUGGCUAGGAUGAGUAGGUCAAGCUCUCUGUUUAUAGACUGAAAAUUAUUUUGCCUUGAGCUGCCCAAGCAAAAGACUGGAGGCUGAACUGAUUUCCUUCGAAGGACAACUUCUGUGAGUUUUGAGAAUGUCCAUGUGGCUGUUCACAUGAUGCCAGGGAGAAACUUUAUGCCACCCAAGGAAGAAAUGCCUUCUUCCAGAUCCUCGCUCAUCUGCCACAGACAUACUGGUUAGCCAAGGGAGAAAAGGGCAAAGCAACAUGUUCAAGUCAAGGUCAGAGAACUUGGUAUGAUCUAAUUGCAGGUAGUGAUGAAUAUCAUUGAAUAUAAACAAAUGGCUUAAUCAGUACAGCAUUAUACUUACCUAAUAAGGAAAAAUUCCUGUUAGUUUUUACAUCCAAUGGAAAACAACCAAGUUUUAGGAAAGAAAAUGAAACAGUUUUUCUUGAAGAAUUAUGAAGGGCUAAAAGCACCAAACAGUUUACUGGGGAAAGAAAAAAAAAAAAAAAAAGAUAAUGAUAUGUCUUAACAUCACUUAAGACCUGCCCUGAAAGUUGGUUGUUCAUGUCACUACUUAGAAUCAUAUAAUGAGAUAGUCCAAACUCCAUGCAAAGUAAGAUUUGCAUCAGUGUGGGAAGCUACUCAACCACCUCCCAGGGAGGCUGCCAGAAGCAGUAGAAACAGUACCCACGUGCCAGGAAAAUCUCAGCCCAGACCUCUCCUGAACUCACAGCUCUCUGCACACAUCCACUAACUCAUCUGUUAUGCUUACUGCUAGUUUGCUAGUUCAGUUUGAGAUGAAGACUAUGCAUUGUGUCCUUAGAAAUUCUGCCUUUACCCAAAAGAGAUUCAACAGUAUAGCCUGAAAUAUCUGAAACUAGCACUAAGUGCAGAAUAUUUCACGCAAUGGUAGGAGAAGACCUUUGACAGUACAGAUACACAUACAGUUACAUAUACUGACUGGGGUAUAAGUGCAGAAUGAUAACUGUUUUAUACACUGUGAGUCUGUAGCAUUACCUCAAUUGAUGGUAGCCUUGUGGCUGUCACUGCAAAAAUUUAGCCUUCAGAUAGACCUCUGUUGACUUUUUUACUGAAAAUUAAAUAUUUGGCUAAAGAUUAAACAAAAGGAAAAGGAAGCAUAAAAAUGUAUUAAACUCCAAACAAAAUCAUGGCAACAACAGGAACUGCAGAAACAACAUCGGUUUAGAGCUGAGCUAAUCAAAGCACGUGGAUUAGCCUGACCUGUGAACAGCUGAGCUUCCACUCUAGAGUGUCUCACUCAGAUAUUGGCAUUAGAAAUUGCAGAAGUCCUGCUAUCAGAUGUGAAAGGCCCUCUACUCCUACCUCUGUGGGAUCAAGGAUGUUAACACUUAAGGGAAUGAACCUCUGGAGUGAUUGUAUUUUGGCCUUUACCUGAAGCAGAGUGAUGAGAAGAUGAGAGGUUCUCCUUGAGUUGUGAUCUGCUGUAUUCCUACUGCCUCCAGCGAUGCAAAGCAGCCACUUGGUGGCAGGGAAGGGAGAUGUUGUUGGAAACAUCCAUCUCCAGAGGAGAGCUUUCUUCCUUCUUCCCAGAAGAGGCAAUAUAGAGUUAUCAUCAUGUUUUGCAAAUGCCACGAAUACAUACAGAUCAUAAUCUUUCACUGGCUGAUGAUUAAAUUGCAUUUUGGACACAAACAACCAGGGCCAACAUCUCUCAAAAUAGAAUGGGAACCAAUAAAAGUAAUUUAAAUAUAAUGGGGCCAUAUUUUUUUUAGUGAAAAGAGAGUUACACAAGAUUUCUCCUGCAAGAGUUAUGUUGUGAUCUAAAAUACAACUUUGAUCAGAUGCUGGAGCUAUGUUUUCUACCUGUGUGACCUUUUUCUUGCAUGAUAGAGGUAAGGGAAAUCAGUAGAGAAAGAAGGAAAAUGAGUCACUAGUGCAGAAAGAAGCUCAAUUGUCAGCUGCAUCAAACUGGUUUUGAGAAGAAAACAAAACAACAGCUACUCCCAGAGAUCUAAAGGUGUAAACAACAGUAAAAUCAAAAGUACACUCAUAUAUAUCUCUUGGAAGUAUCACAUGCGCAGUAGAUAACGGCAGAAUGAGGUAUUACCUGCUCUGUGUGUUGAUGGAAACAUUCAUCUGCAAGAACCGAUGUCUUCCUGGUCUCUAAUUACAUUGAUUCUCUCGCAUGCAUAAAGUUGCAAUAUCCCUAAUUAUAUGAAUUAAUGUUUCCCCAUUGUUUCACAACUUCAGUGAGAGUACAACUCCUGAGAAUGAGAAACUGCAGGAAGAAAAUUGCAUACUUAAUUCAUCCCCCAAAUCAGAAUUGUGUUGAUAGAUACUGUUUUUCUGAUCUGCUCUGAAGUGCACAUUUGGUUAUCUUGUACAGUUUCAGAGAUCUAUGCUAUAAAAUCCCAGUUCAAAGACAGAGCCAUGACUGAAAGAUUUUGUAUUAACAUUUGUAGGUUUUUUUAGUAAUGCUUUUCUAUUCUGAAGAUAUGCACGCAGCAUGUAUGUCAGUAUGUUCAGUGUUUUACAGUCUGCAGACUCCCGUAAGUUUUUCCAUGGAAUUAUGGAUACCUGCAUAGACAGCUAAAACUUUCUAUUUGGGAAUGUAUUUCUCUGAGCUCCCUUUUGCAAAUCCUGUAGUACUCCUCUGGAGAUCUGAUGGAUCUUCAAAGGUUUUCACCUCACGUUGAAAUUCAGGCCUCACCCUUUGUAAUAAAGUAACCUCAAAAGAUUUAGGUUGAAUUUAUUUAGGCAGAAGAACUUUGAAUAUAUUCCAGAUUUUUUUGUGUCUGAAGAUUUUCUGCAGAAAGAAUAAAAAGUCAACUCUUUUUAAAUCAGCUAAUGACAGUAGAGAAAAUUUUCUCUCUCCUUUCUUUACUACAAAUUGCCACAAAAAUUAAUUCUCUUCCAUUUGCAGAUCAUGCAAGGUUACAGAGCCUGAGUUACCGUAUCUUGCACGGAUGGCUUCCAGUCAUUUUAUUUUUAGAAACUAGAACUAGAGGAAUACACCAAAUUAGACAAAGUUUCCUCCCCUAUUUAAACUUCAUGAAAAGUGCUGGACAUGUAGAUCUUAGGUUAAGCUUUGAAAGGAUUAAGAAUUAAUCCAGGCCAUUCUCAGAUCACUUUUCAAAAAUAAGAAUGAGCAGAUAUGAGUGAAUUUUAUUCUAAACACUUAAAAUGAUACCAGUUUUAACCAAUGAAAGUGAUAUGAAAUGUUGUGAGGAACAGCACCAUUCUAAAUUCUAAUUCUUCAAAAAUUAUGUGUAUAUUGAAAAUGUAUGAAUGUAUUUUGUGUUUAUACAGUUUACUGACUUCUCUCUUAGGAGAUCAUGGCUUACAUAAGGUCAGGAAAAAGUUAUUAGGGAAAGAAAUAACGUGGCCUAAAAAGAUCAAAUCACUUGACCUGAUAGAACAUUUAUGCAGCUGAGACUAGAUUUCAGCUCUCCUAGGUGAUACUGCAUGCAUGCAUUAGUCAUACUGAGGCACCAUAAUGAGAUGAAACCAUGAAUGCUGAGCUGUGAGGAUGUGUGGUUAAUUCCUAAAAUCAACUUGGAUGAAAGAGCUGAUUUAUCACAGGAAUAUGAAUACUUUUUUCUUACAGGUGUAUGGUACCCGUCUUCAUUUUAUAGUUGCUCAGAGGAACAAAUUUACUAUAUUUUGAAUUCCAUCUGUUUUCUGAUGGCUAUAAAGCUGAUGUCUGUAGUGCAGAAUUGUUUGGCUCGAUGUAAUUUGAGUACCAGAAAAGCCCUUCCUGGUUCAUGGUUCCAAAUGCUUCACAUCUUUCAAACCUCUAACGACUUUCACGUGAUCCAUCUGGAUCUCCCACCACCAUCCCUGCAGGACAACUGCAUCACAGGAUCACUCUCACAGCCUGGAUGUCUGUGUAGGCAUGGCUGGCAUCUCCUUCUCACCACUUUUCCACUAACAAUAAUAAAAUAAUAAUAAUAAUAAUAAUAAUAAAAGCCUUGGUAACUAGCUGGGGAGGAUAAUACAGAUCCUAACUGUCACCCCUCCUCCCAAAACAUGCAAACCAAAGCACCCAUUGAUCUGGGAGGAGCUCAUAAGGAAGCCAGAAACAAGCACAACAAAUCAUGAAAAACAUCUGCAAGUGACUUCAGCUAGAACACAUGAUUGGAAAGUAUUCUGGGUCCAAAAUAUCCUUGAGUUCAACUUUCACCAAAAUCCAAGGACCACCACCUCUGCUUCAGUGACUUGAAGCAUCCGGAGUUCACAGCUCAUGAACAUCUCAACAUGUGCAAUAAAGUCCUGCUAUCCUCUGUGUCCCUGAGUCAAUCCAAGGUGCUUCUAAGAGGAAAAUGAUACGAUGUCAUUACGCUGCCUAAUCCUUUGGAACAGAAAGAAUCAUUUUAAGAGUGAAAGUAAGUGGAGAAAUGCAUUGAAGGAUUGUUGAUCAGUGCUCUCCUGUAGGGAGGUCUCAUCACGCCCUGACAAAGACUUAUGGAUGAUUAGCUGAGCACCCAGAGGAGAAAUGGGAAAAGAAAUGUUAGACCUCCAGGUCAAACCGCUGGAAAACUUGAAUUCAAUUUCUGUGCUCCUGCUGCUGCUGUGGGCAGCUCCUGCCUAUGCUCUGCACUCCAGCAAUGGACUGCAUCCUUUCAGUUAAAUUACUUGUCUUUAAGGCAAAUACAGAACUGUUGUGAAAUGCUCAUAUCCUCAAGGGACAUGUGUUGUAUAAGACUGAGAGCUCUUUUUCACUCUUUCUCAGGAUUUUCUGUGACAGAGGACCAGAAAUGUUGCCGGGAUAGUAGAUUUUGAAGUCUGGAUUGGUAGCAAAAGUAUUCACUGCGAUGGGAGUGGUGAUCGAGAAAACAGAACAAGUCCUUUGGGAAUUCCAGUGAUUUCAGCAGUUACACUGGCAUACAACUGAUACAAAGAAGUGAUGAAUCAGACUCUGUAGAAGAAAUCCUAGCCCAUUGAAUUCAGCAGGAAUUCUGCCAUUGACCUCAAGAGAGAAACGUUUUUACUGAUAGUUCUGAGGAAGACAGUUUCACAAAGCUCGCAGUAAAGAAGAGUGUGUAUCACUUCCUCCCUUGUGACUAAUCCUGCUCCCUUUACUGACUUUGCUCUGAUAUCUGGGAAGCCUCAGAAAACCUAUCUGCCACCAGAACAGUGAGCAAUUCCUAAGGAAACAGAUGAAUCAACAAAGUUAGAACCACUUUCAUCCUUUCUACACAAACGAUAUGUUGUAUUCCCGUCUGAUAGACCUAUGAAGGGAAAGCAGCUCAGGAUGGCCAAUGGUUUCCCUCACCAGUGCAGUCACUAAAGAGAAUCAAGAAUCAGGAAGUCAGACUACACUCUGCAAUUGCUUCUUCAAACCUUAAAAAUCAAGGAGACAUGGAGCGAAUGACUGUAUUGGGUUUGAGUCAAUGGAGAAUUACGUUCUGCUGCAUCUGGAGAGGAUAAGAAUUUGCAGGAAUCGUGGACAAGGCCAGGCCCUGGUGUAUUGGAUGAAGAAAGAAGCCCUUCCUCUGGACAAGAUGUCUACUAGACCCAGCUGAGCAUUGUGAAAGAGUCAGGAGGACUUUCCAAUAUGUGGUAUUACGCCUAAACAGCUUUUCUGGAGCAGCAGUUUUGGAUCAGCAUUCCUGGAUAAUCCCACGAGUGGACAAUAUCUACAUGUGGAAUUAAACAGAAAUAGUUGCUGUGUUUAGUUUCCUACCUGCAUUUGUGCCAAACUAAUUUUAAAGUGUAAAUGGUCCCUAAGAGAUUACAUAUGCACCCAGAGGAGGAAAUGCAUUCUGCUACUAUACGGCUGAAUUUGUACAAUUUAUGGAGCAUGUCAUAUAAAUGGAAUGGACAGAAAUCUGUUACUAAAUUGGAAUUGAAGAACAUGAUUGAGUGUAUCAGUGAAUGACUAAGGCCUUUAGACCUUAAAAUUGGUUUGAGUGUUCAUAGCUAUAAGCAUCCAUGAGAUCUCCCAGCAACUGGAUUGUAUAUUUGCAUAUAUAGCCUCUUCCUCUGAGUUAAAAUUUGGAUUUUUUUUUUUUCUGAUAUAUAUAAACAUUAUUCUGCCUCUCAGGCUUGACUUAAGUUACUGAAUAAAUUAGGAGUGAAAGACAACUGUGGAAAUUACAGCUAGAAAGGCAACUGAUUUAUUUUUUAAAUGCUUCUGCACAAUUUAAAUUUGAUUUGUGGUAAAUGAGACACUUGAGCAGAUGAAUUUGAAGGAGGCAUAACUUUCUCAGGCUUGCUUAUAUUUUCGGAUAGACUUACUGGAAAAGUUUUAGUUCAUCACUCUUCCAGGAUCUUGAAAUCUGACCAAGAAACCUUCCAAAGUAAUAUGAAGUUCAUGCUAAAACAAUGUUAUCAGAUAGGAAAAGUUAAUGCUACUGUUAUCUACAGGUCAGCUAACGUGUAAGUUCUCACAGAAGUUCUCUAGCAUAAUAGAUUUGCUUCCUUACUAUGGAAAUCAUGCUAUUGCUACUAUUAACAGAAACAAAAUCAGAUUCUGGCUCAACUAUUUCUAUUUAAUAAAGAAAAAAACCUGUUUAGAGCUACAGAAUAAGUAACAGCAUAUCAACUGUUUUGGUUCUUUUCCUCUGUGAACUAUGUCGAAAAAAAAAAAAAACCAACAAAUUAUUCGCUAAGACUAUUUUGUUUUCUUAGUUUGCUUGCUACACUGAAUUUUGCAAUUAUUAUUUAUAUGUCAUAUAGAGCUUCUCUGAAGUAUUUGAGUUGCGUUGAUAGCAUUUGUGUUUACAGAAUAAAAACACUUAUUUUUACACACAGAA